Molecule: ribosomal RNA, 265 nt
Filed under: Heligmosomoides polygyrus
Lineage: Eukaryota; Metazoa; Nematoda; Chromadorea; Rhabditida; Heligmosomidae
Description: partial 28S ribosomal RNA
Source: RNAcentral
UCAAGAGAACGUGAAAUCGCUGGAGUGGAACCGGAGAGAGUUGACGUAGCCGGGUAACUAAGUCUACUAAUGUCGCUUAAUUGUGACUGCGGGAGAUGUAUGUUGCCUAUGGCUGCGCUGACAGCGCUGGCCGUGCGUUCCGAACCGUUUAGCGUUGCCCACCGUUUCGGCGGUGGUGUCUUGCUGGCGGAUAGGUUUGUCGUGGCUAGCGUUUUUGCCCUACUUCAUUGUAGGGUGUCAGUGUGAAAGUCGACCACCUCUCCGA